GCGGCUGUAGCUCAGUUGGAUAGAGCGUCUGCUUGCAAUGCAGAAUGUCGUGGGUUCGAAUCCCAUCAGCCGCU
RNAcentral lists this transfer RNA (74 nucleotides) under Actinomycetota bacterium. Its description in RNAcentral is "tRNA-Cys". It matches the Rfam family "tRNA". From Rfam's summary of the family: Transfer RNA (tRNA) molecules are approximately 80 nucleotides in length. Lineage: Bacteria; Bacillati; Actinomycetota. The record is from RNAcentral.